GACGAACGCUGGCGGCGUGCUUAACACAUGCAAGUCGAACGGAAAGGCCCUGCUUUUGUGGGGUGCUCGAGUGGCGAACGGGUGAGUAACACGUGAGUAACCUGCCCUUGACUUUGGGAUAACUUCAGGAAACUGGGGCUAAUACCGGAUAGGAGCUCCUGCUGCAUGGUGGGGGUUGGAAAGUUUCGGCGGUUGGGGAUGGACUCGCGGCUUAUCAGCUUGUUGGUGGGGUAGUGGCUUACCAAGGCUUUGACGGGUAGCCGGCCUGAGAGGGUGACCGGCCACAUUGGGACUGAGAUACGGCCCGGACUCCUACGGGAGGCAACAGUGGGGAAUAUUGCACAAUGGGCGGAGGCCUGAUGCAGCAACGCCGCGUGCGGGAGGACGGCCUUCGGGUUGUAAACCGCUUUCGCCUGUGACGAAGCGUGAGUGACGGUAAUGGGGAAAGAAGCACCGGCUAACUACGU
RNAcentral lists this ribosomal RNA (467 nucleotides) under uncultured bacterium. RNAcentral describes it as "partial 16S ribosomal RNA". It matches the Rfam family "Bacterial small subunit ribosomal RNA", at positions 28 to 506 of the family's 1533-position model. The record is from RNAcentral.